This 430-nucleotide long non-coding RNA is filed under the name Mus musculus (house mouse). Its description in RNAcentral is "long non-coding RNA chr3:144847573-144848003". The record is from RNAcentral. Lineage: Eukaryota; Metazoa; Chordata; Mammalia; Rodentia; Muridae.
AUGGAGGGGUCAGAGGCUAAAUCAACAGUCAGCACCCUGGCCUACAGUGGAAGGGUGGAGUUGAAUAGAGGCAUCGUGGCCAACAUCCCUGGCUGCUAGGGCUGAUGAGGACAGCAGACCUGUGCCACAUUGAGCCAUCUCUUCUGGACAUGCAACAACUGUCGAACUCUUGCUGCAGCUUGGAGUGCCAAUGAAUGGCAAGUAGGAAGCUGGCUGUUCUCCUCCUGCUGCUGCAUCUGUCGGCCGGUGUAAGAGUCUAACGGUCCUUGGAAAAGUGCGUGCUGUCAAUCAAAACGGCUGCACUCCCUCCUCUGUGCAGCUCGGACAAACAAGCACGAGCUCUCUCCUGUGCUGUUAGAAGGAGCUGAUCCAGACGCAGAAGCCAAACAGCAUUAGGAGGAGCAGCAAGGAAUCCAAAGCACCGGCAGCA